RNAcentral lists this ribosomal RNA (241 nucleotides) under uncultured bacterium. RNAcentral's name for it is "partial 16S ribosomal RNA". It matches the Rfam family "Bacterial small subunit ribosomal RNA", at positions 1251 to 1500 of the family's 1533-position model. The record is from RNAcentral.
CAUGCGGCGACGCAGAGCGGAACCCGAAAACCUGUCUCAGUUCGGAUUGGAGUCUGCAACCCGACUCCAUGAAGCUGGAUUCGCUAGUAAUCGCGCAUCAGCCACGGCGCGGUGAAUACGUUCCCGGGCCUUGUACACACCGCCCGUCAAGCCAUGGAAGCCGGGAGUGCCUGAAGUGCGUGAGCGCAAGCAGCGCCCUAAGGUAAAACCGGUGACUGGGGCUAAGUCGUAACAAGGUAGC